AUUAAACUAGAGGUGGGGCAACGGUACUGGACGGCAGUCAGGCUCAGGGUCAAGGCAGGCAGGGGUCAUUAAACUAGAGGUGGGGCAACGGUACCGGAUGGCAGUCAGGCUCGGGGUCAGGGUAGGCAGAGGUCAAUAAUACAGAGGUGGG
Molecule: long non-coding RNA, 151 nt
Organism: Oncorhynchus keta (chum salmon)
Lineage: Eukaryota; Metazoa; Chordata; Actinopteri; Salmoniformes; Salmonidae
Exons: 3
Source: RefSeq, a predicted model, not a curated record